UGAUAGUAUCAGAAGAGGAAGGGACGGGCUAACUCUGUGCCAGCAGCCGCGGUAAUACAGAGGUCUCAAGCGUUGUUCGGAUUCAUUGGGCGUAAAGGGUGUGUAGGUGGCGCCGUAAGUCGGGUGUGAAAUCUCGGGGCUUAACUCCGAAACUGCAUUCGAUACUGCGGUGCUUGAGGACUGGAGAGGAGACUGGAAUUCAUGGUGUAGCAGUGAAAUGCCGUAGAGAUCGUGAGGGAGACCAGUGGCGAAGGCGGGUCUCCGGACAGUUCCUGACACUGANACACGAAGGCCAGGGGGGCAAACGGGAUUAGAUACCCCGGUAGUCCUGGCAGUAAACGGUGCACGUUUGGUGUGGGGGGAUUCGACCCCUUCUGCGCCGGAGCUAACGCGUUAAACGUGCCGCCUGGGGAGUACGGUCGCAAGAUUAAAACUCAAAGAAAUUGACGGGGGCCCGCACAAGCGGUGGAGUAUGUGGCUUAAUUCGAUGCAACGCGAAGAACCUUACCUGGCCUUGACAUGCAUCUCUAAACCGGUGAAAGCCGGCGAGUCUCGAAAGAGACAAUUUGCACAGGUGCUGCAUGGCUGUCGUCAGCUCGUGUCGU
RNAcentral lists this ribosomal RNA (605 nucleotides) under uncultured Verrucomicrobiota bacterium. Its description in RNAcentral is "bacterial SSU rRNA". It matches the Rfam family "Bacterial small subunit ribosomal RNA", at positions 470 to 1068 of the family's 1533-position model. Lineage: Bacteria; Pseudomonadati; Verrucomicrobiota. The record is from RNAcentral.